RNAcentral lists this ribosomal RNA (253 nucleotides) under uncultured bacterium. Its description in RNAcentral is "partial 16S ribosomal RNA". It matches the Rfam family "Bacterial small subunit ribosomal RNA", at positions 524 to 776 of the family's 1533-position model. The record is from RNAcentral.
UAAGGAGGGUGCGAGCGUUAAUCGGAAUUACUGGGCGUAAAGGGCGCGUAGGUGGUUUGGUAAGUCUGUUGUGAAAGCCCCGGGCUUAACCUGGGAAUUGCAUUCGAUACUGCCUGGCUCGAGUAUGGUAGAGGGAAGCGGAAUUCCGGGUGUAGCGGUGAAAUGCGUAGAUAUCCGGAGGAACACCAGUGGCGAAGGCGGCUUCCUGGACCAAUACUGACACUGAGGCGCGAAAGCGUGGGGAGCAAACAGG